Molecule: ribosomal RNA, 304 nt
Filed under: uncultured bacterium
Lineage: Bacteria
Description: partial 16S ribosomal RNA
Rfam family: Bacterial small subunit ribosomal RNA
Source: RNAcentral
CAGCAGUCGCCACGGUAAAACGUAGGGAGCAAGCGUUGUUCGGAUUUACUGGGCGUAAAGGGCGCGUAGGCGGCGCGGUAAGUCACUUGUGAAAUCUCUGAGCUUAACUCAGAACGGCCAAGUGAUACUGCUGUGCUAGAGUGCGGAAGAGGCAACCGGAAUUCUUGGUGUAGCGGUGAAAUGCGUAGAUAUCAAGAGGAACACCUGAGGCGAAGGCGGGUUGCUGGGCCGACACUGACGCUGAUGCGCGAAAGCCAGGGGAGCAAACGGGAUUAGAUACCCCGGUAGUCCCUGUCUCUUAUAC